GACGAACGCUGGCGGCGUGCCUAAUACAUGCAAGUAGAACGCACAGUUUAUACCGUAGCUUGCUACACCAUAGACUGUGAGUUGCGAACGGGUGAGUAACGCGUAGGUAACCUGCCUGGUAGCGGGGGAUAACUAUUGGAAACGAUAGCUAAUACCGCAUAAUAUUAAUUAUUGCAUGAUAAUUAAUUGAAAGGUGCAAUUGCACCACUACCAGAUGGACCUGCGUUGUAUUAGCUAGUAGGUGAGGUAACGGCUCACCUAGGCGACGAUACAUAGCCGACCUGAGAGGGUGAUCGGCCACACUGGGACUGAGACACGGCCCAGACUCCUACGGGAGGCAGCAGUAGGGAAUCUUCGGAAAUGGACGAAAGUCUGACCGAGCAACGCCGCGUGAGUGAAGAAGGGUUUCGGAUCGUAAAGCUCUGUUGUAAGAGAAGAACGGGUGUGAGAGUGGAAAGUUCACACUGUGACGGUAUCUUACCAGAAAGGGACGGCUAACUACGUG
RNAcentral lists this ribosomal RNA (505 nucleotides) under uncultured bacterium. RNAcentral describes it as "partial 16S ribosomal RNA". It matches the Rfam family "Bacterial small subunit ribosomal RNA", at positions 28 to 507 of the family's 1533-position model. The record is from RNAcentral.